GAGCGAUGAAGCUUCCUUCGGGAAGUGGAUUAGCGGCGGACGGGUGAGUAACACGUGGGUAACCUACCUCAAAGUGGGGGAUAGCCUCCCGAAAGGGAGAUUAAUACCGCAUAAUAUAAGAAAAUCGCAUGAUUAUCUUAUCAAAGAUUUAUCGCUUUGAGAUGGACCCGCGGCGCAUUAGCUAGUUGGUGGGGUAACGGCCUACCAAGGCAACGAUGCGUAGCCGACCUGAGAGGGUGAUCGGCCACAUUGGAACUGAGACACGGUCCAGACUCCUACGGGAGGCAGCAGUGGGGAAUAUUGCGCAAUGGGGGAAACCCUGACGCAGCAACGCCGCGUGGGUGAUGAAGGUCUUCGGAUUGUAAAGCCCUGUUUUCUGGGACGAUAAUGACGGUACCAGAGGAGGAAGCCACGGCUAACUACGUGCCAGCAGCCGCGGUAAUACGUAGGUGGCGAGCGUUGUCCGGAUUUACUGGGCGUAAAGGGUGCGUAGGCGGAUGUUUAAGUGGGAUGUGAAAUCCCCGGGCUUAACCUGGGGGCUGCAUUCCAAACUGGAUAUCUAGAGUGCAGGAGAGGAAAGCGGAAUUCCUAGUGUAGCGGUGAAAUGCGUAGAGAUUAGGAAGAACACCAGUGGCGAAGGCGGCUUUCUGGACUGUAACUGACGCUGAGGCACGAAAGCGUGGGUAGCAAACAGGAUUAGAUACCCUGGUAGUCCACGCCGUACACGAUGGAUACUAGGUGUAGGGGGUAUCAACUCCCUCUGUGCCGCAGUUAACACAAUAAGUAUCCCGCCUGGGGAGUACGGUCGCAAGAUUAAAACUCAAAGGAAUUGACGGGGGCCCGCACAAGCAGCGGAGCAUGUGGUUUAAUUCGAAGCAACGCGAAGAACCUUACCUGGACUUGACAUCCCUUGCAUAGCCUAGAGA
RNAcentral lists this ribosomal RNA (926 nucleotides) under Clostridium sporogenes subsp. tusciae. RNAcentral's name for it is "bacterial SSU rRNA". It matches the Rfam family "Bacterial small subunit ribosomal RNA", at positions 64 to 1006 of the family's 1533-position model. Lineage: Bacteria; Bacillati; Bacillota; Clostridia; Eubacteriales; Clostridiaceae. The record is from RNAcentral.